This 301-nucleotide ribosomal RNA is filed under the name uncultured bacterium. RNAcentral describes it as "partial 16S ribosomal RNA". It matches the Rfam family "Bacterial small subunit ribosomal RNA", at positions 509 to 807 of the family's 1533-position model. The record is from RNAcentral.
CAGCAGCCACGGUAAUACGUAGGGUGCAAGCGUUAAUCGGAAUUACUGGGCGUAAAGCGUGCGCAGGCGGUUUGUUAAGACAGAUGUGAAAUCCCCGGGCUCAACCUGGGAACUGCAUUUGUGACUGGCAAGCUAGAGUCUGGCAGAGGGGGGUGGAAUUCCGCGUGUAGCAGUGAAAUGCGUAGAUAUGCGGAGGAACACCGAUGGCGAAGGCAGCCCCCUGGGCCAACACUGACGCUCAUGCACGAAAGCGUGGGGAGCAAACAGGAUUAGAUACCCCGGUAGUCCCUGUCUCUUAUAC